GCUGGGCAUGGUGGUGUAUACCUGUAAUCCCAGCAACUCGGAAGGCCAAGGCAGGAGGAUUGCAGGUUUGAAGCCAGCCUCAAAAAAAGCUAGGUGCUAAGCAACUCAGUGAGACCCUGUCUCUA
This 125-nucleotide small RNA is filed under the name Marmota monax (woodchuck). The record is from RNAcentral. Lineage: Eukaryota; Metazoa; Chordata; Mammalia; Rodentia; Sciuridae.